RNAcentral lists this ribosomal RNA (247 nucleotides) under Pseudopedinella elastica. RNAcentral's name for it is "partial Bacterial small subunit ribosomal RNA". It matches the Rfam family "Bacterial small subunit ribosomal RNA", at positions 284 to 548 of the family's 1533-position model. The record is from RNAcentral. Lineage: Eukaryota; Dictyochophyceae; Pedinellales.
UAGCUGGUCUGAGAGGACGAUCAGCCACACUGGAACUGAGAGACGGUCCAGACUCCUACGGGAGGCAGCAGUGGGGAAUUUUGGACAAUGGGCGCAAGCCUGAUCCAGCCAUGCCGCGUGAGUGAUGAAGGCCUUAGGGUCGUAAAGCUCUUUCGCCAGAGAUGAUAAUGACAGUAUCUGGUAAAGAAACCCCGGCUAACUCCGUGCCAGCAGCCGCGGUAAUACGGAGGAUGCAAGCGUUAUCCGG